UACGAAGGGGGCUAGCGUUGCUCGGAAUCACUGGGCGUAAAGGGUGCGUAGGCGGGUCUUUAAGUCAGGGGUGAAAUCCUGGAGCUCAACUCCAGAACUGCCUUUGAUACUGAAGAUCUUGAGUUCGGGAGAGGUGAGUGGAACUGCGAGUGUAGAGGUGAAAUUCGUAGAUAUUCGCAAGAACACCAGUGGCGAAGGCGGCUCACUGGCCCGAUACUGACGCUGAUGAGCGAAAGCUAGGGGAGCAAACGGG
Molecule: ribosomal RNA, 253 nt
Filed under: uncultured bacterium
Lineage: Bacteria
Description: partial 16S ribosomal RNA
Rfam family: Bacterial small subunit ribosomal RNA
Source: RNAcentral